This 288-nucleotide long non-coding RNA is filed under the name Nicotiana benthamiana. RNAcentral's name for it is "long non-coding RNA (NBEN_LNC018885)". Lineage: Eukaryota; Viridiplantae; Streptophyta; Magnoliopsida; Solanales; Solanaceae. The record is from RNAcentral.
UGGAGCCAGGGUUUUCCGUCGGCUUCUUCCUCAACAUGUGCACAAUAAGCCGCUUGAUCUUGAAAUCGGACCUGGAUAGGGUCGAUGUAAUUUGUGUCUGGAUGCUAAAUCAUGGAUGAUAAAGUGGCUAGAGCAUCAGCGAACUCAUUCUGUAUUCUCGGAACAUGUUGGAAUUAUGUUUUUCUGAACCUCUUUCUCAACUCCUGUAUGUGAUGCAAAUAACGGAGUAUAUUGGAAUUCUUGGACCCACUCUUCUCGGACCUAGUGUAUGAGUAGGUUCGAAUCCCC